This 373-nucleotide ribosomal RNA is filed under the name uncultured organism. RNAcentral describes it as "partial 16S ribosomal RNA". It matches the Rfam family "Bacterial small subunit ribosomal RNA", at positions 527 to 896 of the family's 1533-position model. The record is from RNAcentral.
GUAGGUGGCAAGCGUUGUCCGGAAUUAUUGGGCGUAAAGCGCGCGCAGGCGGUUCUUUAAGUCUGAUGUGAAAGCCCACGGCUCAACCGUGGAGGGUCAUUGGAAACUGGAGAACUUGAGUACAGAAGAGGAAGGCGGAAUUCCACGUGUAGCGGUGAAAUGCGUAGAGAUGUGGAGGAACACCAGUGGCGAAGGCGGCUUUCUGGUCUGUAACUGACGCUGAGGCGCGAAAGCGUGAGGAGCAAACAGGAUUAGAUACCCUGGUAGUCCACGCCGUAAACGAUGAGUGCUAAGUGUUAGGGGGGUUUCCGCCCCCCUUAGUGCUGCAGCUAACGCAUUAAGCACUCCGCCUGGGAGUACGGCCGCAAGGCUG